UUGGAGGGCAAGUCUGGUGCCAGCAGCCGCGGUAAUUCCAGCUCCAAUAGCGUAUAUUAAAGUUGUUGCAGUUAAAAAGCUCGUAGUUGAAUUUCGGGAUCAAUAUUUCGGUCAUGCCGUUGGUAUGCACUGUUAUCAUUGAUUUCUCACCUUCUAAAGAACCGUAAUGCCAUUAAUUUGGUGUUACGGGGAAUUAGGACUGUUACCUUGAAAAAAUUAGAGUGUUUAAAGCAGGCUCACGCUUGAAUACAUUAGCAUGGAAUAAUGAAAUAGGACAUCCGAUUCUAUUUUGUUGGUUUCUAGGAUCGAUGUAAUGAUUAAUAGGGAUAGUUGGGGGCAUUAGUAUUCAAUUGUCAGAGGUGAAAUUCUUGGAUUUAUUGAAGACUAACUACUGCGAAAGCAUUUGCCAAGGAUGUUUUCAUUAAUCAAGAACGAAAGUUAGGGGAUCGAAGACGAUCAGAUACCGUCGUAGUCUUAACCAUAAACUAUGCCGACUAGGGAUCGGAUGAUGUUAAUUUUUUAAUGACUCAUUCGGCGCCUUACGGGAAACCAAAGUGUUUGGGUUC
This 566-nucleotide ribosomal RNA is filed under the name uncultured Glomus. Its description in RNAcentral is "SSU rRNA". It matches the Rfam family "Eukaryotic small subunit ribosomal RNA", at positions 548 to 1114 of the family's 1831-position model. Lineage: Eukaryota; Fungi; Glomeromycota; Glomeromycetes; Glomerales; Glomeraceae. RNAcentral also lists the same sequence under 1 other name. The record is from RNAcentral.